Molecule: small RNA, 274 nt
Filed under: Pontibacillus chungwhensis BH030062
Lineage: Bacteria; Bacillati; Bacillota; Bacilli; Caryophanales; Bacillaceae
Description: BsrG
Source: Rfam by way of RNAcentral
AUCUCGUCUCUCUAUAUGACAAGGGUGGUCGGCUAACCCCUAUCCGGAAGGGGGUGAUGCCUAUCGACGCAUAUCAAGUAAUCAUGGUGAUGUUUUCGUUUGGUAUGUUCGUCCUUUCGCUUCUUAGCUUUGUUGUGAAAAUUGUAACAGAGUUAUUAAAGCAUAAAAAAUAGACCUCCCUUCACACGUUUAUGCAGGAGAGGUCUAUUCAUAUGGGCCGAUCCUCUUAAGUAGAGAGAACGUAGAUCAUACGACCACAGUUGCAGCUGUGGUC